GCUGGGUGUGGUGGCGGGCACCUGUAAUCCCAGCUACUUGGGAGGCUGAGGCAGGAGAAUUGCUUGAACCUGGGAGGUGGAGGUUGCAGUGAGCCGAGAUCACGCCACUGCACUCCAGCCUGGAUGACAGAGCGAGACUCUGUCUCAA
Unclassified non-coding RNA from Pongo abelii (Sumatran orangutan), 148 nucleotides. It matches the Rfam family "Metazoan signal recognition particle RNA". From Rfam's summary of the family: The signal recognition particle (SRP) is a universally conserved ribonucleoprotein. The record is from Ensembl. Lineage: Eukaryota; Metazoa; Chordata; Mammalia; Primates; Hominidae.